RNAcentral lists this small nuclear RNA (23 nucleotides) under Arabidopsis thaliana (thale cress). RNAcentral's name for it is "snRNA_06416". The record is from RNAcentral. Lineage: Eukaryota; Viridiplantae; Streptophyta; Magnoliopsida; Brassicales; Brassicaceae.
GUGUACCCAAUAAAUACACAACA